Molecule: ribosomal RNA, 506 nt
Filed under: uncultured bacterium
Lineage: Bacteria
Description: partial 16S ribosomal RNA
Rfam family: Bacterial small subunit ribosomal RNA
Source: RNAcentral
AUUGAACGCUGGCGGCAGGCCUAACACAUGCAAGUCGAGCGGUAACACAGAGGAGCUUGCUCCUUGGGUGACGAGCGGCGGACGGGUGAGUAAUGCCUGGGGAUCUGCCCGAUAGAGGGGGAUAACUACGGGAAACUGUAGCUAAUACCGCAUAACGUCUACGGACCAAAGUGGGGGCUCUUCGGACCUCAUGCUAUCGGAUGAACCCAGGUGGGAUUAGCUAGUUGGUGAGGUAAUGGCUCACCAAGGCGACGAUCUCUAACUGGUUUGAGAGAAGGACCAGACACACUGGAACUGAGACACGGUCCAGACUCCUACGGGAGGCAGCAGUGGGGAAUAUUGCACAAUGGGCGCAAGCCUGAUGCAGCCAUGCCGCGUGUGUGAAGAAGGCCUUCGGGUUGUAAAGCACUUUCAGCGAGGAGGAAGGGUUACUAGCUAAUACCUAGUGACAUUGACGUUACUCGCAGAAGAAGCACCGGCUAACUCCGUGCCAGCAGCCGCCGUAA